GACGUAGGGUGCGAGCGUUGUCCGGAUUUAUUGGGCGUAAAGAGCUCGUAGGCGGCUCGUCGCGUCGACCGUGAAAACCCGCGGCUUAACUGCGGGCUUGCGGUUGAUACGGGCGGGCUAGAGUUCGGUAGGGGAGAUUGGAAUUCCUGGUGUAGCGGUGAAAUGCGCAGAUAUCAGGAGGAACACCGGUGGCGAAGGCGGGUCUCUGGGCCGAUACUGACGCUGAGGAGCGAAAGCGAGGGGAGCGAACGGG
This 253-nucleotide ribosomal RNA is filed under the name uncultured bacterium. RNAcentral describes it as "partial 16S ribosomal RNA". It matches the Rfam family "Bacterial small subunit ribosomal RNA", at positions 524 to 776 of the family's 1533-position model. The record is from RNAcentral.